RNAcentral lists this ribosomal RNA (497 nucleotides) under uncultured bacterium. RNAcentral describes it as "partial 16S ribosomal RNA". It matches the Rfam family "Bacterial small subunit ribosomal RNA", at positions 28 to 507 of the family's 1533-position model. The record is from RNAcentral.
GAUGAACGCUGGCGGCGUGCCUAAUACAUGCGAGUCGAGCGAACAGAUGGGGAGCUUGCUCCUCUGACGUUAGCGGCGGACGGGUGAGUAACACGUGGAUAACCUACCUAUAAGACUGGGAUAACUUCGGGAAACCGGAGCUAAUACCGGAUAAUAUAUUGAACCGCAUGGUUCAAUAGUGAAAGACGGUUUUGCUGUCACUUAUAGAUGGAUCCGCGCCGCAUUAGCUAGUUGGUAAGGUAACGGCUUACCAAGGCAACGAUGCGUAGCCGACCUGUGAGGGUGCUCGGCCACACUGGAACUGAGACACGGUCCAGACUCCUACGGGAGGCAGCAGUAGGGAAUCUUCCGCAAUGGGCGAAAGCCUGACGGAGCAACGCCGCGUGAGUGAUGAAGGUCUUCGGAUCGUAAAACUCUGUUAUUAGGGAAGAACAAAUGUGUAAGUAACUAUGCACGUCUUGACGGUACCUAAUCAGAAAGCCACGGCUGACUACGUG